This 253-nucleotide ribosomal RNA is filed under the name uncultured bacterium. RNAcentral describes it as "partial 16S ribosomal RNA". It matches the Rfam family "Bacterial small subunit ribosomal RNA", at positions 524 to 776 of the family's 1533-position model. The record is from RNAcentral.
UACGAAGGGGGCUAGCGUUGUUCGGAAUUACUGGGCGUAAAGCGCGCGCAGGCGGUCUUCCAAGUCAGUGGUGAAAGCCCGGAGCUCAACUCCGGAACUGCCAUUGAAACUGUUGGACUUGAGUAUGAGAGAGGUGAGUGGAAUUCCCAGUGUAGAGGUGAAAUUCGUAGAUAUUGGGAAGAACACCGGUGGCGAAGGCGGGUCUCUGGGCCGAUACUGACGCUGAGGAGCGAAAGCGUGGGGAGCGAACAGG